RNAcentral lists this transfer RNA (84 nucleotides) under Pseudomonadota bacterium. RNAcentral's name for it is "tRNA-Leu". It matches the Rfam family "tRNA". From Rfam's summary of the family: Transfer RNA (tRNA) molecules are approximately 80 nucleotides in length. Lineage: Bacteria; Pseudomonadati; Pseudomonadota. The record is from RNAcentral. RNAcentral also lists the same sequence under 1 other name.
GCGAAAGUGGCGGAAUUGGCAGACGCGCUAGAUUCAGGUUCUAGUAGGCGCAAGCCUGUGGGGGUUCAAGUCCCCCCUUUCGCA